This is a long non-coding RNA of Austrofundulus limnaeus, 452 nucleotides long. RefSeq lists it as uncharacterized. NCBI's taxonomy places the organism in Eukaryota, Metazoa, Chordata, Actinopteri, Cyprinodontiformes, Rivulidae. The transcript has 3 exons. The record is from RefSeq and is a predicted model, not a curated record.
UAUGGUGGGGUGGAGCCAGAGCCACACACUUGUAGCAGAUCCACCUGAUGAGCCCAGCAGUGCUGAGAUCCCUCCGUGGACUUACAUGUAUACCUGAAGAACAGACGAGUAAAAGCUGUGGAGCGAUGUUACCUUCAAGACAUUUUUACCUGGGUGGUUUCAGGAGGACACUGCAACAGUCCGACAGAUUCACUGCCCACUGCUGAAGGUAAAAGAGCGAAAAUGUUUUUGUCUGUUUGUUUGUUGUGUUAAAGAUUUAUGUUAUCAACCUUUGUCUAACCAGACAAACCCCACUGAGAUCACAGAUCUCUUUUGCAAGGGAGGCCUGGGACUGAAGGCAACCUAAAAUGUAUUUUUUUUUUUUUUUUGACUGUGGUAAAAUAACCAAAGUACCAGGAAAAAAGGGAGUGUAGUUAUCCCAUGGUUAAUAAUGAAAGUCAUGAAAAAUGUCU